Molecule: ribosomal RNA, 465 nt
Filed under: uncultured bacterium
Lineage: Bacteria
Description: bacterial SSU rRNA
Rfam family: Bacterial small subunit ribosomal RNA
Source: RNAcentral
UUCCAGACUCCUACGGGAGGCAGCAGUGAGGAAUAUUGGUCAAUGGUCGGGAGACUGAACCAGCCAAGCCGCGUGAGGGAUGAAGGUACAGAGUAUCGUAAACCUCUUUUGUCAGGGAACAAAGGCGGGGACGUGUCCCCGGAUGAGUGUACCUGAAGAAAAAGCAUCGGCUAACUCCGUGCCAGCAGCCGCGGUAAUACGGAGGAUGCGAGCGUUAUCCGGAUUUAUUGGGUUUAAAGGGUGCGUAGGCGGUCUGUUAAGUCAGCGGUAAAAUUGCGGGGCUCACCCCCGUCGAGCCGUUGAAACUGGCAGACUUGAGUUGGCGAGAAGUACGCGGAAUGCGCGGUGUAGCGGUGAAAUGCAUAGAUAUCGCGCAGAACUCCGAUUGCGAAGGCAGCAUGCCGGCUCCACACUGACGCUGAGGCACGAAAGCGUGGGUAUCGAACAGGAUUAGAUACCCCGGUA